Non-coding RNA from Triticum aestivum (bread wheat), 125 nucleotides. NCBI's taxonomy places the organism in Eukaryota, Viridiplantae, Streptophyta, Magnoliopsida, Poales, Poaceae. The record is from Rfam.
CAAAUACUCCCUCCGUCCGGAAAUACUUGUCGAAGAAAUGGAUGUAUGUAGACAUAUUUUAGUUCUAGAUACAAUAACUUUUAUCUAUUUCCGAGACAAGUAAUUCCGGACGGAGGGAGUAGCUG